AUACGUAGGUCCCCGAGCGUUGUCCGGAUUUAUUGGGCGUAAAGCGAGCGCAGGUGGUUUAUUAAGUCUGGUGUAAAAGGCAGUGGCUCAACCAUUGUAUGCAUUGGAAACUGGUAGACUUGAGUGCAGGAGAGGAGAGUGGAAUUCCAUGUGUAGCGGUGAAAUGCGUAGAUAUAUGGAGGAACACCGGUGGCGAAAGCGGCUCUCUGGCCUGUAACUGACGCUGAGGCUCGAAAGUAUGGGUAGC
This 247-nucleotide ribosomal RNA is filed under the name uncultured bacterium. RNAcentral's name for it is "partial 16S ribosomal RNA". It matches the Rfam family "Bacterial small subunit ribosomal RNA", at positions 523 to 769 of the family's 1533-position model. The record is from RNAcentral.